RNAcentral lists this ribosomal RNA (427 nucleotides) under uncultured bacterium. RNAcentral describes it as "bacterial SSU rRNA". It matches the Rfam family "Bacterial small subunit ribosomal RNA", at positions 355 to 773 of the family's 1533-position model. The record is from RNAcentral.
UGGGGAAUUGUUCGCAAUGGGCGCAAGCCUGACGACGCAACGCCGCGUGGAGGAUGAAGAUCUUCGGGUCGUAAACUCAUUUCGAUCGAGACGAAUGGCCUCCGGGCUAACAUCCUGGAGGAGUGACGGUACCGAGAGAAGAAGCCCCGGCUAACUCCGUGCCAGCAGCCGCGGUAAUACGGGGGGGGCAAGCGUUGUUCGGAAUUACUGGGCGUAAAGGGUGCGUAGGCGGUUCGUUAAGUCUGUCGGGAAAUCCCCGGGCUCAACCUGGGAAUGGCGAUGGAUACUGGCGAGCUAGAGUGUGUCAGAGGAUGGUGGAAUUCCCGGUGUAGCGGUGAAAUGCGUAGAGAUCGGGAGGAACAUCAGUGGCGAAGGUGGCCAUCUGGGACAACACUGACGCUGAAGCACGAAAGCGUGGGGAGCAAAC